Molecule: ribosomal RNA, 230 nt
Filed under: uncultured microorganism
Description: partial 16S ribosomal RNA
Rfam family: Bacterial small subunit ribosomal RNA
Source: RNAcentral
UACGUAGGGUGCGAGCGUUGUCCGGAAUUAUUGGGCGUAAAGAGCUCGUAGGCGGUGUGUCACGUCUGCCGUGAAAACCUCAGGCUUAACUUGGGGCGUGCGGUGGAUACGGGCAUCACUUGAGUUCGGUAGGGGAGACUGGAAUUCCUGGUGUAGCGGUGGAAUGCGCAGAUAUCAGGAGGAACACCGGUGGCGAAGGCGGGUCUCUGGGCCGAUACUGACGCUGAGGA